This 229-nucleotide unclassified non-coding RNA is filed under the name plant metagenome. RNAcentral's name for it is "partial contains small subunit ribosomal RNA, internal transcribed spacer 1, and 5.8S ribosomal RNA". The record is from RNAcentral.
UCUCCGUAGGUGAACCUGCGGAGGGAUCAUUACAGAGUUCAUGCCCUACCGGGUAGAUCUCCCACCCCAUGUUAUUAUUACUUUGUUGCUUUGGCGGGCCGUUAGGCUCCGGCCCGACUACCGGCCCCGGCUGGUAAGCGCCCGCCAGAGGACCCAAAACCCUGAAUAUUAGUGUCGUCUGAGUACUAUAUAAUAGUCAAAACUUUCAACAACGGAUCUCUUGGUUCUG